This is a long non-coding RNA of Gallus gallus (chicken), 352 nucleotides long. NCBI's taxonomy places the organism in Eukaryota, Metazoa, Chordata, Aves, Galliformes, Phasianidae. The record is from Ensembl.
GGCAGCGCUCCGGGCCCCGCCACGUGCGCGAAGUGCCGGCGGGGCGUCCUCCGGAGGGGGAGCGGCUCCGUGAAGGGCGGCGAUCCCGUGGGCUGGGGAGGAACGCGCGGGGAAACGCCGCGUCCGUCUUCGGGCAGCAGCGAGCGGAGCGGGAACGGAGCGCUCCGGUGUCGCCGCUCGGCCCCUUUCCGGCAACGGCCCCGAGCUGGGAGCCAGAGCGGGCGCAGUGCUGAACUACCGGCGGGGAUGGGGCGACGGGGCGCCCAGCUGACAUCCCCCAGAGCUCUGCCGGGCCGGGCCGCCGCCGUUCCGCUGCCCGGGGGCAGCCUGCUCGAGCUGCUCCUCACUGCCC